GCAAUACCGCGUGAGGGAAGAAAGCCUUUGGGUUGUAAACCUCUUUUCUCAAGGAAGAAACAAAUGACGGUACUUGAGGAAUCAGCAUCGGCUAACUCCGUGCCAGCAGCCGCGGUAAUACGGAGGAUGCAAGCGUUAUCCGGAAUCAUUGGGCGUAAAGCGUCCGCAGGUGGCUAAUCAAGUCUGCUGUCAAAGACUGGGGCUUAACUCCGGAAAGGCAGUGGAAACUGAGAAGCUAGAGUUCGGUAGGGGUAGAAGGAAUUCCCAGUGUAGCGGUGAAAUGCGUAGAGAUUGGGAAGAACACCAGUGGCGAAAGCGUUCUACUGGACCGAAACUGACACUAUGGACGAAAAGCUAGGGGAGCGAAAGGGAUU
RNAcentral lists this ribosomal RNA (374 nucleotides) under uncultured cyanobacterium. Its description in RNAcentral is "bacterial SSU rRNA". It matches the Rfam family "Bacterial small subunit ribosomal RNA", at positions 391 to 779 of the family's 1533-position model. Lineage: Bacteria; Bacillati; Cyanobacteriota. The record is from RNAcentral.